This 366-nucleotide ribosomal RNA is filed under the name uncultured bacterium. Its description in RNAcentral is "bacterial SSU rRNA". It matches the Rfam family "Bacterial small subunit ribosomal RNA", at positions 28 to 395 of the family's 1533-position model. The record is from RNAcentral.
GACGAACGCUGGCGGCGUGCCUAACACAUGCAAGUCGAACGGGACCAGGGGCAACUCUGGUUCAGUGGCGGACGGGUGCGUAACACGUGAGGAACAUGACCUUCGGCGGGGAGUAGCCGGCCCAACGGCCGGGUAAUACCGCGUACGACCUUUCGGGGACAUCCCUGGAUGGUGAAAGCAGCAAUGCGCCGAUGGAGUGCCUCGCGGCCUAUCAGCUAGUUGGUGAGGUAACGGCNCACCAAGGCGACGACGGGUAGCUGGUCUGAGAGGAUGGCCAGCCACAUUGGGACUGAGACACGGCCCAGACUCCUACGGGAGGCAGCAGUGGGGAAUAUUGCGCAAUGGACGCAAGCCUGAUCCAGCGAU